GGGGGAAUAUUGCACAAUGGGCGAAAGCCUGAUGCAGCAACGCCGCGUGAGGGAAGACGGUUUUUCGGAUUGUAAACCUCUGUUUUCGGUGACGAACAAAUGACGGUAACCGAGUAGGAAGCCACGGCUAACUACGUGCCAGCAGCCGCGGUAAUACGUAGGUGGCAAGCGUUAUCCGGAUUUACUGGGUGUAAAGGGCGCGUAGGCGGGGAUACAAGUCAGAUGUGAAAUCUAUGGGCUUAACCCAUAAACUGCAUUUGAAACUGUAUCUCUUGAGUGUCGGAGAGGUAGACGGAAUUCCUAGUGUAGCGGUGAAAUGCGUAGAUAUUAGGAGGAACACCAGUGGCGAAGGCGGUCUACUGGACGAUAACUGACGCUGAGGCG
RNAcentral lists this ribosomal RNA (384 nucleotides) under uncultured Oscillospiraceae bacterium. RNAcentral's name for it is "bacterial SSU rRNA". It matches the Rfam family "Bacterial small subunit ribosomal RNA", at positions 355 to 753 of the family's 1533-position model. The record is from RNAcentral. Lineage: Bacteria; Bacillati; Bacillota; Clostridia; Eubacteriales; Oscillospiraceae.